UACGGAGGGUGCAAGCGUUAUCCGGAUUCACUGGGUUUAAGGGGUGCGUAGGUGGGCUUGUAAGUCAGUGGUGAAAGCCCGGAGCUCAACUUCGGAACUGCCAUUGAUACUGCAAGUCUUGAGUACACUUGAGGUGGGCGGAAUACAUCAUGUAGUGGUGAAAUACUUAGAUAUGAUGUAGAACACCGAUUGCGAAGGCAGCUCACUAAAUUGUAACUGACACUGAGGCACGAAAGCGUGGGGAUCAAACAGG
This 253-nucleotide ribosomal RNA is filed under the name uncultured bacterium. RNAcentral describes it as "partial 16S ribosomal RNA". It matches the Rfam family "Bacterial small subunit ribosomal RNA", at positions 524 to 776 of the family's 1533-position model. The record is from RNAcentral.